GAUGAACGCUGGCGGCGUGCCUAAUACAUGCAAGUCGAGCGAACGGACGAGAAGCUUGCUUCUCUGAUGUUAGCGGCGGACGGGUGAGUAACACGUGGAUAACCUACCUAUAAGACUGGGAUAACUUCGGGAAACCGUAGCUAAUACCGGAUAAUAUUUUGAACCGCAUGGUUCAAAAGUGAAAGACUGUCUUGCUGUCACUUAUAGAUGGAUCCGCGCUGCAUUAGCUAGUUGGUAAGGUAACGGCUUACCAAGGCAACGAUGCAUAGCCGACCUGAGAGGGUGAUCGGCCACACUGGAACUGAGACACGGUCCAGACUCCUACGGGAGGCAGCAGUAGGGAAUCUUCCGCAAUGGGCGAAAGCCUGACGGAGCAACGCCGCGUGAGUGAUGAAGGUCUUCGGAUCGUAAAACUCUGUUAUUAGGGAAGAACAUAUGUGUAAGUAACUGUGCACAUCUUGACGGUACCUAAUCAGAAAGCCGCGGCUAACUACGUG
This 497-nucleotide ribosomal RNA is filed under the name uncultured bacterium. Its description in RNAcentral is "partial 16S ribosomal RNA". It matches the Rfam family "Bacterial small subunit ribosomal RNA", at positions 28 to 507 of the family's 1533-position model. The record is from RNAcentral.